CCUACGGGCGGCAGCAGUGAGGAAUAUUGGUCAAUGGGCGCGAGCCUGAACCAGCCAAGUAGCGUGAAGGAUGACUGCCCUACGGGUUGUAAACUUCUUUUAUAAAGGAAUAAAGUGAGGAACGAGUGCCUUUUUGUAUGUACUUUAUGAAUAAGGAUCGGCUAACUCCGUGCCAGCAGCCGCGGUAAUACGGAGGAUCCGAGCGUUAUCCGGAUUUAUUGGGUUUAAAGGGAGCGUAGAUGGGUUGUUAAGUCAGUUGUGAAAGUUUGCGGCUCAACCGUAAGAGUGCAAUUGAUACUGGCAGCCUAGAGUACAGGUGGGGUAGGCGGAAUUCGUGGUGUAGCAGUGAAAUGCUUAGAUAUCGCGAAGAACUCCGAUUGCGAAGGCAGCUUACUAAACAUCCACUGACAUUGAUGCACGAAGGUGAGGGGAUCAAACAGGAUUAGAUACCCUUGUAGUC
This 460-nucleotide ribosomal RNA is filed under the name uncultured bacterium. Its description in RNAcentral is "partial 16S ribosomal RNA". It matches the Rfam family "Bacterial small subunit ribosomal RNA", at positions 338 to 795 of the family's 1533-position model. The record is from RNAcentral.